UACGUAGGGUGCAAGCGUUAAUCGGAAUUACUGGGCGUAAAGCGUGCGCAGGCGGUUAUGCAAGACAGAUGUGAAAUCCCCGGGCUCAACCUGGGAACUGCAUUUGUGACUGCAUGGCUAGAGUGCGGCAGAGGGGGAUGGAAUUCCGCGUGUAGCAGUGAAAUGCGUAGAGAUGUGGAGGAACACCGAUGGCGAAGGCAGCCCCCUGGGGUAACACUGACGCUCAUGCACGAAAGCGUGGGGAGCAAACAGG
Molecule: ribosomal RNA, 253 nt
Filed under: uncultured bacterium
Lineage: Bacteria
Description: partial 16S ribosomal RNA
Rfam family: Bacterial small subunit ribosomal RNA
Source: RNAcentral